RNAcentral lists this ribosomal RNA (164 nucleotides) under uncultured bacterium. Its description in RNAcentral is "partial 16S rRNA". It matches the Rfam family "Bacterial small subunit ribosomal RNA", at positions 355 to 511 of the family's 1533-position model. The record is from RNAcentral.
UAGGGGAUCUUCCACAAUGGACGCAAGUCUGAUGGAGCAACGCCGCGUGAGUGAAGAAGGUCUUCGGAUCGUAAAACUCUGUUGUUAGAGAAGAACACGAGUGAGAGUAACUGUUCAUUCGAUGACGGUAUCUAACCAGCAAGUCACGGCUAACUACGUGCUAG